RNAcentral lists this long non-coding RNA (480 nucleotides) under Phoenix dactylifera (date palm). Its description in RNAcentral is "long non-coding RNA (PDAC_LNC000753)". The record is from RNAcentral. Lineage: Eukaryota; Viridiplantae; Streptophyta; Magnoliopsida; Arecales; Arecaceae.
UAAUGUGAAUAUUGCAAGAGAAUGAGAAUAAUUAAGCUAGCAAAAACUGUGUUGAGGGUGAAAGCAAUGGAGAUCCAGAACAUUAAAAGUGACAUAGGUUAUACUUGUAUGACACCAAGAAAUAGGUAAUGAAUAGUCUACAGAUGACUUGUCCAAAUACAAAGAUUAUAUGUAGCAAUGGCUUGCAUUCAGUAGGUAUGAAUGGGCAAUGCAAAACUGAGUUACAAUUCAUCAUUUGUCGUCGAAUAACAUAGCGCACGCAUAGCACUACUAAUCACUCAAAAUUCACAUUAUAAUGCAAUGGGUGCAAGUAGAUGGACAUGAUCCACUUUGUUGAUCAUUUUUUCAGAAAAGAAAACACCUCCCCAUCUUUUGAGCAAGUUAUUAUCAUAAUUUGUGAGAGUCGUUGCAUUCAUUGAUCUCAAGAUAACAGAGCAUGUAUAUAUAUGAAAACUCUAUAAAAUAUAGUCAUUUAAUUUC